CCUACGGGUGGCAGCAGUGAGGAAUAUUGGUCAAUGGACGCAAGUCUGAACCAGCCAUGCCGCGUGCAGGAAGACGGCCCUAUGAGUUGUAAACUGCUUUUGUACGAGGGUAAACUCAGAUACGCGUACCUGUCUGAAAGUAUCGUACGAAUAAGGAUCGGCUAACUCCGUGCCAGCAGCCGCGGUAAUACGGAGGAUUCAAGCGUUAUCCGGAUUUAUUGGGUUUAAAGGGUGCGUAGGCGGUCGGAUAAGUCAGAGGUGAAAUCCCGAGGCUCAACUUCGGAAUUGCCUCUGAUACUGUUAGGCUAGAGAGUAGUUGCGGUAGGCGGAAUGUAUGGUGUAGCGGUGAAAUGCUUAGAGAUCAUACAGAACACCGAUUGCGAAGGCAGCUUACCAAGCUACUUCUGACAUUGAGGCACGAAAGCGUGGGGAGCAAACAGGAUUAGAUACCCCAGUAGUC
RNAcentral lists this ribosomal RNA (460 nucleotides) under uncultured bacterium. Its description in RNAcentral is "partial 16S ribosomal RNA". It matches the Rfam family "Bacterial small subunit ribosomal RNA", at positions 338 to 795 of the family's 1533-position model. The record is from RNAcentral.